ACAUGAUGGACUACAGGGCAGGACUUGUGCUGUUAAUGAUCUGCUGGGCAGGUGUUGAUGGUCAGACUCUGACUGAAUCUGAACCUGCAGUAAAAAGACCUGGACAAUCCCACAGACUGACCUGUACAGCCUCUGGAUUCACAUUCAGCAGCCACUUGAUGGGUUGGAUCAGACAGGCUCCUGGAAAAGGACUGGAGUGGAUCGCUACUAUCGAUGUUACUAGCACUUACUAUUCACAGUCAGUUCAAGGCCGUUUCACCAUCUCCAGAGACAACGGCAGAAACCAGCUGUAUCUGCAGAUGAACAGUCUGAAAACUGAAGAUUCUGCUGUUUAUUAUUGUUGGGACAACGUUCUGUAG
Molecule: non-coding RNA, 359 nt
Organism: Sphaeramia orbicularis (orbiculate cardinalfish)
Lineage: Eukaryota; Metazoa; Chordata; Actinopteri; Kurtiformes; Apogonidae
Source: the annotation of a RefSeq genome assembly